RNAcentral lists this ribosomal RNA (256 nucleotides) under uncultured bacterium. Its description in RNAcentral is "partial 16S ribosomal RNA". It matches the Rfam family "Bacterial small subunit ribosomal RNA", at positions 793 to 1055 of the family's 1533-position model. The record is from RNAcentral.
GUCCACGCCCUAACGAUGUCAACUGGUUGUUGGGUCUUCACUGACUCAGUAACGAAGCUAACGCGUGAAGUUGACCGCCUGGGAGUACGGCCGCAAGGUUGAACUCAAGGAAUUGACGGGACCCGCACAAGCGGUGGAUGAUGUGGUUUAAUUCGAUGCAACGCGAAACCUUACCACCUUUGACAUGUACGGAAGUCGCUAGAGAUAGCUUCGUGCUCGAAAGAGAACCGUAACACAGGUGCUGCAUGGCUGUCGU